GGAAAGAAAAGUGUCCAUGUUUUCACGUCUUUCUUAUAUCAUCACAUGUUACAACAUAUUUCCAAAGUAGGAAUUUACAUAAGAACGUGAUGGCAAUAAGAUGGCUUUUGUAAGAUAAAUUUGAUGGUAAGGAAAAAACCUUUAAUUAAAUACCUUUGAGAG
This 162-nucleotide long non-coding RNA is filed under the name Polistes fuscatus (common paper wasp). Its description in RNAcentral is "uncharacterized LOC122522551". Lineage: Eukaryota; Metazoa; Arthropoda; Insecta; Hymenoptera; Vespidae. The record is from RNAcentral.